GGGUUGUGAGGUUAAGCGACUAAGCGUACACGGUGGAUGCCCUGGCAGUCAGAGGCGAUGAAGGACGUGCUAAUCUGCGAUAAGCGUCGGUAAGGUGAUAUGAACCGUUAUAACCGGCGAUUUCCGAAUGGGGAAACCCAGUGUGUUUCGACACACUAUCAUUAACUGAAUCCAUAGGUUAAUGAGGCGAACCGGGGGAACUGAAACAUCUAAGUACCCCGAGGAAAAGAAAUCAACCGAGAUUCCCCCAGUAGCGGCGAGCGAACGGGGAGCAGCCCAGAGCCUGAAUCAGUGUGUGUGUUAGUGGAAGCGUCUGGAAAGGCGCGCGAUACAGGGUGACAGCCCCGUACACAAAAAUGCACAUGCUGUGAGCUCGAUGAGUAGGGCGGGACACGUGGUAUCCUGUCUGAAUAUGGGGGGACCAUCCUCCAAGGCUAAAUACUCCUGACUGACCGAUAGUGAACCAGUACCGUGAGGGAAAGGCGAAAAGAACCCCGGCGAGGGGAGUGAAAAAGAACCUGAAACCGUGUACGUACAAGCAGUGGGAGCACGCUUAGGCGUGUGACUGCGUACCUUUUGUAUAAUGGGUCAGCGACUUAUAUUCUGUAGCAAGGUUAACCGAAUAGGGGAGCCGAAGGGAAACCGAGUCUUAACUGGGCGUUAAGUUGCAGGGUAUAGACCCGAAACCCGGUGAUCUAGCCAUGGGCAGGUUGAAGGUUGGGUAACACUAACUGGAGGACCGAACCGACUAAUGUUGAAAAAUUAGCGGAUGACUUGUGGCUGGGGGUGAAAGGCCAAUCAAACCGGGAGAUAGCUGGUUCUCCCCGAAAGCUAUUUAGGUAGCGCCUCGUGAAUUCAUCUCCGGGGGUAGAGCACUGUUUCGGCAAGGGGGUCAUCCCGACUUACCAACCCGAUGCAAACUGCGAAUACCGGAGAAUGUUAUCACGGGAGACACACGGCGGGUGCUAACGUCCGUCGUGAAGAGGGAAACAACCCAGACCGCCAGCUAAGGUCCCAAAGUCAUGGUUAAGUGGGAAACGAUGUGGGAAGGCCCAGACAGCCAGGAUGUUGGCUUAGAAGCAGCCAUCAUUUAAAGAAAGCGUAAUAGCUCACUGGUCGAGUCGGCCUGCGCGGAAGAUGUAACGGGGCUAAACCAUGCACCGAAGCUGCGGCAGCGACGCUGAUGCGUUGUUGGGUAGGGGAGCGUUCUGUAAGCCUGCGAAGGUGUGCUGUGAGGCAUGCUGGAGGUAUCAGAAGUGCGAAUGCUGACAUAAGUAACGAUAAAGCGGGUGAAAAGCCCGCUCGCCGGAAGACCAAGGGUUCCUGUCCAACGUUAAUCGGGGCAGGGUGAGUCGACCCCUAAGGCGAGGCCGAAAGGCGUAGUCGAUGGGAAACAGGUUAAUAUUCCUGUACUUGGUGUUACUGCGAAGGGGGGACGGAGAAGGCUAUGUUGGCCGGGCGACGGUUGUCCCGGUUUAAGCGUGUAGGCUGGUUUUCCAGGCAAAUCCGGAAAAUCAAGGCUGAGGCGUGAUGACGAGGCACUACGGUGCUGAAGCAACAAAUGCCCUGCUUCCAGGAAAAGCCUCUAAGCAUCAGGUAACAUCAAAUCGUACCCCAAACCGACACAGGUGGUCAGGUAGAGAAUACCAAGGCGCUUGAGAGAACUCGGGUGAAGGAACUAGGCAAAAUGGUGCCGUAACUUCGGGAGAAGGCACGCUGAUAUGUAGGUGAAGUCCCUCGCGGAUGGAGCUGAAAUCAGUCGAAGAUACCAGCUGGCUGCAACUGUUUAUUAAAAACACAGCACUGUGCAAACACGAAAGUGGACGUAUACGGUGUGACGCCUGCCCGGUGCCGGAAGGUUAAUUGAUGGGGUCAGCGCAAGCGAAGCUCUUGAUCGAAGCCCCGGUAAACGGCGGCCGUAACUAUAACGGUCCUAAGGUAGCGAAAUUCCUUGUCGGGUAAGUUCCGACCUGCACGAAUGGCGUAAUGAUGGCCAGGCUGUCUCCACCCGAGACUCAGUGAAAUUGAACUCGCUGUGAAGAUGCAGUGUACCCGCGGCAAGACGGAAAGACCCCGUGAACCUUUACUAUAGCUUGACACUGAACAUUGAGCCUUGAUGUGUAGGAUAGGUGGGAGGCUUUGAAGUGUGGACGCCAGUCUGCAUGGAGCCGACCUUGAAAUACCACCCUUUAAUGUUUGAUGUUCUAACGUUGACCCGUAAUCCGGGUUGCGGACAGUGUCUGGUGGGUAGUUUGACUGGGGCGGUCUCCUCCUAAAGAGUAACGGAGGAGCACGAAGGUUGGCUAAUCCUGGUCGGACAUCAGGAGGUUAGUGCAAUGGCAUAAGCCAGCUUGACUGCGAGCGUGACGGCGCGAGCAGGUGCGAAAGCAGGUCAUAGUGAUCCGGUGGUUCUGAAUGGAAGGGCCAUCGCUCAACGGAUAAAAGGUACUCCGGGGAUAACAGGCUGAUACCGCCCAAGAGUUCAUAUCGACGGCGGUGUUUGGCACCUCGAUGUCGGCUCAUCACAUCCUGGGGCUGAAGUAGGUCCCAAGGGUAUGGCUGUUCGCCAUUUAAAGUGGUACGCGAGCUGGGUUUAGAACGUCGUGAGACAGUUCGGUCCCUAUCUGCCGUGGGCGCUGGAGAACUGAGGGGGGCUGCUCCUAGUACGAGAGGACCGGAGUGGACGCAUCACUGGUGUUCGGGUUGUCAUGCCAAUGGCACUGCCCGGUAGCUAAAUGCGGAAGAGAUAAGUGCUGAAAGCAUCUAAGCACGAAACUUGCCCCGAGAUGAGUUCUCCCUGACCCUUUAAGGGUCCUGAAGGAACGUUGAAGACGACGACGUUGAUAGGCCGGAUGUGUAAGCGCAGCGAUGCGUUGAGCUAACCGGUACUAAUGAACCGUGAGGCUUAACCUUACAACGCCGAAGCUGUU
Molecule: ribosomal RNA, 2930 nt
Filed under: Escherichia coli
Lineage: Bacteria; Pseudomonadati; Pseudomonadota; Gammaproteobacteria; Enterobacterales; Enterobacteriaceae
Description: 23S ribosomal RNA
Rfam family: Bacterial large subunit ribosomal RNA
Source: RNAcentral